CUGAAUUCAUCCAUCCAUUUGUUCAUCUCAGUUCCCCUCCAUAUUUCCAUCACUCUCUCUCUCGCACCUUCAAUCCUUCGUCAACACGAACUCGUGUGGCGAUUUUACGGCCAGCAUUGGAAGCUUCGGCCACCGUAUGAACAACCUACACAAUCGUAUCUUCACCGUCGACAGAUCUCUGGUAAAUAUUUGCGCCUCUCGAAACCCUAAAAUCGCUUAAAACGGAAUCAUGCGACUCGAUUUUUGCUCCGAUCAACUACUGACGCAACAGAGGUCGGCUACGAACCUUAUGGUUGCUGCACCAGUUGUAUAAAUCGUACGAGCUUAUCAACAUAGUUAAAUACUAAAGAAUGAUGAACUUGUGCCACUUCCGCCUUCAAGUGAGUCAUCAAUAACAAGUCAUUUAUCAAAUCCUCAAUGACUAGUGUGUCACCACCGAACCUCUUAGCAUAAAAAACAAGCACGCCUUAGUUUGAUGACAAAUUUUGACGACGACUUCAAUAGCCCUCAGGAUUACCAUACUAGCGACAAACAGAGGAAGUCACACUUGUAGAGCUUGAUGGAGAUGGAGAUUACCGUGUGCCUUUUGAACUUGGAGGUAGUGGUGGAAUGUUGAGAAAAACUAGUUGUUGGAAAUGCGCAAAAGGAUUGAAGAUGAUCGUUAAAGAAAAAAAGCCGAGCUUGAAACUAUGUGAAAAGAGUUUGCUAGCCAGCAACCCAACUUGGAAGCUAUGAUGCGGAAGGUUAUGAAGCAAGUAGUUGGAGAUCGAGAUUAGUAGAAUGUUUUCACUUUUUUAUUAUUGUAAUUUACUGUAAGGUUAUUUAAGUUUCGACAAACAUGUUGAAGUACACACUUUGAUUAUC
Molecule: long non-coding RNA, 864 nt
Filed under: Helianthus annuus (common sunflower)
Lineage: Eukaryota; Viridiplantae; Streptophyta; Magnoliopsida; Asterales; Asteraceae
Source: RNAcentral